RNAcentral lists this ribosomal RNA (253 nucleotides) under uncultured bacterium. Its description in RNAcentral is "partial 16S ribosomal RNA". It matches the Rfam family "Bacterial small subunit ribosomal RNA", at positions 524 to 776 of the family's 1533-position model. The record is from RNAcentral.
UACAGAGGUGGCAAGCGUUGUUCGGAAUUACUGGGCGUAAAGGGCGAGUAGGCGGCCUUCUAAGUCAGACGUGAAAUCCCCCGGCUUAACCUGGGAACUGCGUCUGAUACUGGGAGGCUUGAGUAUGGGAGAGGGAUGUAGAAUUCCAGGUGUAGCGGUGAAAUGCGUAGAUAUCUGGAGGAACACCGGUGGCGAAGGCGGCGUCCUGGACCAACACUGACACUGAUGAGCGAAAGCCAGGGGAGCAAACGGG